RNAcentral lists this transfer RNA (67 nucleotides) under Ciconiphilus decimfasciatus. Its description in RNAcentral is "tRNA-Asn". The record is from RNAcentral. Lineage: Eukaryota; Metazoa; Arthropoda; Insecta; Psocodea; Menoponidae.
UUAAUUAAAGCCAAAAAGAGAGGCAUGUUGCUGUUAACAACAAGAAUAAACAAAAGUUUUAAUUAAU